This 253-nucleotide ribosomal RNA is filed under the name uncultured bacterium. Its description in RNAcentral is "partial 16S ribosomal RNA". It matches the Rfam family "Bacterial small subunit ribosomal RNA", at positions 524 to 776 of the family's 1533-position model. The record is from RNAcentral.
UACGUAGGGUGCGAGCGUUAAUCGGAAUUACUGGGCGUAAAGCGUGCGCAGGCGGUUUGUUAAGACAGGCGUGAAAUCCCCGGGCUCAACCUGGGAAUGGCGCUUGUGACUGGCAAGCUAGAGUAUGGCAGAGGGGGGUAGAAUUCCACGUGUAGCAGUGAAAUGCGUAGAGAUGUGGAGGAAUACCGAUGGCGAAGGCAGCCCCCUGGGCCAAUACUGACGCUCAUGCACGAAAGCGUGGGGAGCAAACAGG